Anas platyrhynchos (mallard) is the source of this 9219-nucleotide RNA transcript. It is a transcript of the gene named WD repeat domain 20, with no coding region annotated. Lineage: Eukaryota; Metazoa; Chordata; Aves; Anseriformes; Anatidae. The record is from RefSeq and is a predicted model, not a curated record.
UACGCCGUUUGCGUGGCCGCCUCCGCGCAGGGCCGCGCGAGCGCCGGCGGCGGCGGCGGUUGCGCAGUGUGGCCACAUCCGGGCGCCGGGGCAGGAUGAAUGCUCCUUUCCAAGAUGGCGGCGGAGGGAGGAGGGAAGGAGAUGAACGAGAUUAAGACCCAGUUCACCACCCGGGAGGGGCUGUACAAGCUGCUGAGCCACUCGGAGUACAGCCGGCCCAACCGGGUGCCCUUCAACUCGCAGGGCUCCAACCCGGUGCGCGUUUCCUUCGUCAACGUCAACGACCAGAGCGGCAACGGCGACCGGCUCUGCUUCAAUGUGGGCCGGGAGCUCUACUUCUACAUCUACAAGGGGGUCCGCAAGGCUGCGGACUUGAGUAAACCAAUAGACAAAAGGAUAUACAAAGGAACACAACCUACAUGCCAUGACUUCAAUCACUUAACAGCCACAGCAGAAAGUGUUUCUCUUCUAGUGGGCUUCUCAGCAGGCCAGGUCCAACUUAUAGACCCUAUUAAAAAAGAAACUAGCAAAUUAUUUAAUGAGGAAAGACUAAUAGACAAGUCCAGAGUAACCUGUGUAAAAUGGGUACCAGGUUCGGAAAGCCUUUUCCUAGUAGCUCAUUCCAGUGGCAAUAUGUACUUAUAUAACGUGGAGCACACUUGUGGUACCACAGCCCCGCACUACCAGCUACUUAAACAAGGAGAAAGUUUUGCAGUUCACACUUGCAAGAGUAAAUCCACAAGAAACCCUCUGCUUAAAUGGACAGUAGGUGAGGGUGCCCUGAAUGAAUUUGCCUUUUCCCCAGAUGGGAAGUUCUUGGCCUGUGUGAGCCAGGAUGGUUUUCUUCGUGUGUUUAACUUUGAUUCGGUGGAAUUGCAUGGUACAAUGAAAAGCUACUUUGGAGGACUGCUGUGUGUGUGUUGGAGUCCUGACGGGAAAUACAUAGUGACAGGUGGAGAGGAUGACUUGGUAACAGUUUGGUCUUUUGUGGACUGUCGAGUAAUAGCGAGAGGCCAUGGACAUAAAUCGUGGGUCAGUGUUGUUGCAUUCGAUCCGUAUACCACUAGCGUAGAAGAGAGUGACCCGAUGGAAUUUAGCGGCAGUGAUGAGGAUUUCCAAGACCUUCAUUUUGGCAGAGAUCGAGCAAAUAGUACGCAAUCUAGGCUAUCCAAAAGGAACUCUACAGACAGUCGUCCAGUAAGUGUUACGUAUAGAUUUGGUUCGGUAGGCCAGGACACGCAGCUCUGUUUAUGGGAUCUUACAGAAGAUAUCCUCUUCCCCCACCAACCUCUUUCAAGAGCAAGGACACAUACAAAUGUCAUGAAUGCCACAAGUCCACCCGCUGGAAGUGGUGGAACUAACCCAGGAAGUAAUGGAAACAGUAUCACUACACCUGGAAACUCUGUACCCCCUCCUCUUCCACGGUCAAACAGCCUUCCACAUUCUGCAGUCUCAAAUGCUGGCAGUAAAAGCAGUGUCAUGGAUGGUGCCAUUGCUUCUGGUGUUAGUAAAUUUGCAACCUUAUCGCUACAUGAUCGGAAGGAAAGACACCAUGAAAAAGAUCACAAGAGAAACCAUAGCAUGGGACAUAUAUCUAGCAAGAGCAGUGACAAACUGAACCUAGUUACUAAAACCAAAACGGACCCAGCUAAAACUUUGGGAACACCUCUCUGUCCCAGAAUGGAAGAUGUUCCCUUGUUAGAGCCUCUUAUCUGUAAAAAGAUAGCACAUGAAAGACUGACUGUGUUAAUUUUUCUUGAAGACUGUAUAGUCACUGCUUGUCAGGAGGGAUUUAUUUGCACAUGGGCAAGGCCUGGUAAAGUGAGAUAAAGUAUGCAGUACCAAAAAUCAGGAUUUAUGUAUUGGCCAAUAUGGAAAACUUUAAUGACAGUCCUUAGGUGGUCUUUUGCUAUCAUACUGUGCUGAACAAAUGGCCACAAUGAAAACUGUUAACUUGCCAUAUUUUGAAGUAAGAAGUUGAUUGCAUCCUGUAACCUGCUCUGAGUAAAUGUUUCACUUCAACUCAAGAUAAUACAUACAUUUUUGAUGUUUAAAUCUUGCUGAUAAGGUCAUGUCUUCUGAUAUUUUUCUAGGACUUAGAUUAAUAUGAAAUAGAAUACUUAUAAAAAAUCAAAUUUGUUCAAACUCAGAUUCAGUAAAACACAGACAUGUAUGUGUCUAGAUUCGCUCGGCCUAGCCAUCAGAUACGAGCUGGGGCUGAGUGUUUUCUCUUCCUUCUAGGACUCUACAGGAGCUCUUUCCUCUGUGGACUCAGGUGCAGGGUAUGUUGUUUAUUCCAGCUUUAGACAUUGCCAUUUACCUAAAGAAUGCUGAAUUUACAGCCCUGAGGAUAUGGCUCGCUUGGAUGAUUCAAGUGUUUUCAGUCUAGAAAAGCUUUGGCUAGUCUAGAACUUCACUUAUCUGAACUCAUCUGAACAGUCUAAGCCUUUGGCUACAAAAUUUCUUGAGACCAAUUUAGGCAAAGAAAAAGAAGGUGCACUUGUAUCUGAGCAAAUUUCGCCCUUGCAGCAGCAGCACUGUGUGCUGAAGGAACCAAAAAAGUGACACCUCAGUGUUUCAAAGGCACUUCUGAGAAAUUUCAGUGAAAAAGUUACUUACUUUGAGUCCUGCCUAACUGAGGUAGAACUCUUCAUCUCUUAGGAAAAAAAUCCUCUGUAGUCUAAAGCUGAGGAAAUAAGCUAUCUAUCUUGUAAGAACUUGAGAAUAUUUGGUACUUCAGGAGGUACUGACUGACCACUACGAUGGUCUACAUGUAAUAUAUGUAUAUUUAAGAAUAUACAGGAGCCAAUGGAUGAACAAAAUAAAAUCUGUCCUGAAAGCUUGUGUGAACAGCUGAUUACAUCAAAUGAUGCAAGAAUUGCUUGUACAAACCAGUUUCUCAACAGUCAGUGUGAACAUGAAAUUUAACCAUCUUCCACACCUUCUGUAGUGACAGAAGAUGACAAAAAAUGUCUCGGAAGAUGGAAGUAUCUUCUUGCUUUUAUUGCUUUUAUUGUAUAAUGUUGCACAAACUUAUCAAGGAAAUAACUUGUUUGAUAACCUUAUUUUCUGUAUUUAAAGUUGGAUUUUAGGUAGGUGCCGAUCAACUUACUAACUUCAUUUUUGAUCACUUCUCAUUCUGUGAUCAUGCUUACUUUACAACUACCCAAAAUGGGGUUGCCUUAAGUCAUCUGCUUCUUCCCCAAUUCUUCUCCUGGUUCAUUUCAAUUUCAUUAUUUCCUAAUCUGAAAAGUUUAAACUUUACCAUAGUUUAAAGAGGCUAGAGAAACUGUUCCUAACCAUUGGAGCCUGUACUACCUAAAUGAAGCUUAAGUUCCUAUCAUCUGAGUCAAAUCCAGCUUCUGUUGGUAAAGCCUUUUGUGCUUUUCCCAGUGUGCACUUAGUUGCAUCUUAUUUUUUUCUCCUCUUGAAGAUGCUUAUCUUCCACUGCCAACUAUCACUAUAGGUUAAGAUUUUUUUUUUACUAGGCUGCUAGUUUUCUGUCAGCCUUGACUUUUCUUUCUGUUGACCAUGAGCAACAAAAAGGGUGAUUUGUUGAGAGGUGAUACACCUCUCUUAGAAGAAAAACUCCUUACGUAUACAGAAGUGAAGUUGCACGAGCAGUCUCCCUGUUGCUACUACGUGCUUUUACAAGAUCUGGUAUGUCGUAUGCUUUAAGAAUUUACUUUUCUGUAACUCCACGAAAAAUAGUAAAGCCAACCAAAGACAAAUAAUGCAUUUAAACCUACAUAAAGGGAACAGAUAGGCAAUGCAGAGAUGGGUAUUGGCUUGGCUCUUUCCCCCUGAAUCCAUACACAUUCCUCUAUAGUAUGUUUUGUUAAUGUUCAGCAGGCACUUCCUUGAAUGGUCUCAAUUUUGACUCACUGAUUUACUAUCUGAUUUAAUCUAUAUAAGUAGUUCAAAGACUUAAGCUAAUAAGUGCUGACUCAUCUGCGUAAGAAACGUGGACAUUUUGUUCAUACAAAUCUUAAUCCAAUUAAGCUGGUUCGACUGCAGGAUUUCAAAUGUGAACAGUUUCAUUCUGUUUGAGCAUAUUAUUGCUCAGAUUCUGCAUUGGACUGUGGGCUCUUUUGUCUCAGUCCAGAUACCUUUUUUCAAGUGACUCCAAGAAUAUCACGAUUUUGAACAAGAAUAAACUACAUGUGGAAUACUCUUAACAAUAAAUGCAAUUAUUAUCUGAAUAGCAGUAAUGGCUUAACAAAUCAAUGCCAUGUUUGCAUGGGCAUUCGUUAGGUCAGCUGUUGCUGGUUUAAUUGCAUUAGUGAAGUGUACUGUGAGACCUUUUAGCCUGUAUCUGCCUAAAAGGCUUGUUUAAUACCUGUUGUAUUUGUUACAGUGGACUGUUUGCUUUUCUUUCUACUUUCCAAUUUCAAAACAGCAGGAAAGACAGGCAGGGUUCUGACAUCCUGCAUGUUUCUGAGGCAGCUGCUCUGUUUUACUGUCCAGGGCGAGCACCGAGUGCGUGCCAAGAGAGCUGUGAAUUAGCACAUAAGCAGUAACUUUACAGUAACCUGCCCACGUGUCCGAACUUGCAGUUUAAUAUCUGGACUAGUGAAAUCUUUGGCUCCAAUCAGUUCUGUUCUAAUUUACAAGAAGAAAAUACAAAGUCUGUAGUUACUGAUGGCUUUUAUUCUAAGUAGCAGUGUCUUCCUGGCUCAUUUUUUAAAUGCAGCAGUUGUGUCCUGAUCUCUCACACACUUAGUUUCUGUUGGGAAACUUUGUGUUUCGUAUUAUUGCCUGGGGAAACAAACAAACAAACUUUGUGCAUAUGUGGAACUUCUUGAAAAACAAACCCCUGCAAUCUCAUGCGUUGUGAGGAGGGCUGGUCCUCUCGCUGCUGCAGGUCUUUCUGAACAGACCACGGGUGUGACUGCUCUGUAACUCGGAUGGGAGCAAUCUUACCUAUCAUAUUUGUUACGGCUUUUUCUGCCUACCAGUAUGUCUUAAGGUUUUUACUAAAUAUGCAAAGUCCUGUGAGUUUUGGGAAGUCAGAGAGCAUGCAUAGAUUAAUGUGGUGCAGCAGCUUGCCCUAGCAGCACUGCUGAAAUGGUGUUUAAUGCUCUUACAUUGCUAAUUGUCAUAAGGCAAACGACAGUCCUCCACCAGAGAAGUGUGUUCGAACAGUAUUCGAACAGCAGAGUAUGCUGUUGAGAUGGCAGAUGAUGCAACACCUACUUGUAGGACUCUUGCUGAGGUUGUAAUGAAGGUUGCCUUAUCAAAUUCCUGGCUUGGCUCCAUUUCCAACCCCUGCUAGACCCAAAAUAAUACUGCUAAUAAAAGGCUGUGUUUGUUUUCAAAACUGUUUUUGAACAGUCUCUUAAUGUGUCUCUGCUGCAUGCUCAGUGUGAUGUUUGUUCUUAAACUUCAGCUGAUGCAAUGUACAGCACAGCAGAUCCGGAGCUGUCGUAUCGCAAUUCCUCAUGUUUUAAUCCUUCACGUUUUCUGUCACUGCUAUUAAACUGUGCAGCUUUGCUCUGAGUUACUGCAGCUUUUGUUCCAUCCUUCACCACCUGCGUGGUUUAGCCACAGAAAGCACCGCGGGCUAACUUCUUUAUCUUAUGUAUCCAUGCAGGAACUUUCUAGACUUUUUUUUUUAAUAACCUUACUCGUAUUAUUCCCAGAGAAUGUCAUUACAAGUGUUCUAGGCCCACACCCAGAUUACAGACCAGACUCUUAUAUGGUAAUUUUUGUAUGAAAACUUAGCUUUUUUUCCAGCUGUCACAUGCUUUUCUAAAACUGGCUUUCCAGAGCUUACUAUGUUGUACUUAACUUCUUCAUAAUGGCAAAGCUCCAUGGGAUCUUUCUUGUUACUCAGGACCCACCCAGAACUCUUAACUCAAUUCUGUAAAACUUUUAUGCCUAAAUGCCAAAUUUUUAUUCUUGCUUUCCUUAUAUGAACAUCUGAGGUCUCAGAUGGUCACCUUAUGAAGUUGAGUACUUGGAAGAACUUGCAGCAUUUCUGAUCUCUGUCACACAAGCAAACCUCUGGGAUGGCCAUCUCCUCAUUGUAGCUUGACCAAGUUUUAAGGUGCUGCUUCCUAAGUUUAUGGAAGUUUUUGAAAUGUCUUGAUCCUGACAUUGUUUCCGCUUUACUGACCCUCUCCCCUGCCUGCCCAGAGUUGUAGAAUUCAUUUAGAACAAGGCUUGAAAUCUGAGUUCCAAAGCACGGUGCUCUGGCUUUCUAAACCAGGAAGCAUUCAUGGGGUGGGAGAUGCAACCAGGACUGAGCAAAUCCUUGUUCCUAGUCUUGGAACUUAAAUUCCAGAGUUGCUAGUAGUUUUUUGGGGAAUCAGGCUUCACACUACGUGUCAGUAUGUGCUACCUGUUUCUAGAGCAGCUGUAGGAUGAGUGGCUUUAUUUUGUUUGCCAACAAUCAGCUGCAUUACAGUGUAAAUGUGGUGGUAGAAUAGUGCUUAUUUCUUCUGCUUAUGUAGCAUGGCUAUGAUCCUGUUGAAAAAGGCUUCAUAUUACACCAUCCCUAGUACUUUUUUGUGUGUGCUUAUAAAGAAUGCUUGCAUAUGAACAGUUUGGAUUAUUGAUUUAUUAAAGACUGAAAAUAAGACUUUUGGGACAUCUUUUUUGAGGGUGUGUGAAACUUGCUCAGUGGACGUAGUCUUCUUGUGAGAAUGACCUUCCAGUUGUUGCUGGAUUUAAUAGACUUCUGAGGAAUGCUUUGAUAAGCAAAUUAUGGAGUUCUGUUUUGUCUUCAUCUCUUUUAAACAAAGCUUUCUUGAUAAACAUUUUCAGAAAUGCUUCACUAGCUUGUUUUCUCUAAAAUUCUACCUUUUUGCUACUCCUUAACUAAUAACAAUAAAACUGUCUUUUCUUCUUGUUACAUAUGCAGUAUCUUUGCAAAGCCUGAAUGACACACAGGUUUAAAGACCAACCCAUAUCAGUCUACCUCAGCAGUGUUUGAACCAGAUAUUCACAAGAUAUUCAUAAGUGCCACAUACAUUUAUUAUAUAUAAAUGUAUAUAAAAGUGUAUACAUACACACGUGCCCACACACUUUGCUAUAAAUCCUACAAAUAUAUCUGGAUUUGUGUGUUGGAAUUGGUGGAAUAGAUGUGGGGUUUUCUUUUUUAAUUAAAAAAAAGUUUUGAUUUUAGUCGAAACUUGGUGACUUGAAUCCAGCCAAUCCAGACCUCCUUCCACUUCUUUGUCUGUGGUCAGGGUUUUCUUCCAUCAGUAGUGACAUUUCAGUUCUGGGAUCCAAGCAAGAAAGAGCUCCUGUAGAUUCCAAAGCUGUAUGCAUUCUGCAUUCUAUGUUAGUUGCUGCCUGAACUUGUCUGGUUUGAUGGAUCUGAGUCACAGGAUCUUAAUUUUGAGGUAAGAAAUUAAGCUGGUAGCUAUCUAGCGGAAUUGCUAAAAGUGCAUUUGCCAUGCCUGCAUAGUAAGAGUUGCUCCAUGAUACUCAUUGGUGAUACUCAUAAGCUUCCAGCUUAGCUGCCGUGGUGGUGCAAGUCUGCUGGCAGUUGUUAUAACAAUGACAUUGCAAGAAGAUGAAAUUGCAUUUUGAUAUUAAGCUUUUCCUAUAUAAGUCUGGCAUACGUUUUUUAUGUGAAUAACUAAAAAUGGGCUACUAUACAUAAAUGAAAACUGGGAUCUGUCGCCUACAGUAUAGUUGCCUUAAUAUGGAACCGCAACCCCUGUCUAGCUUGGGGUGCCGCACAGUAGCAGCAUUAUGCUUGAAAUAAAGUCAGUCUCCAUUUAUUGGAACGGUAAUGCAGUUUAAAGAAAAAAAUCCUGAAUGCAAGCUUAAAUUGUAAUGGGAAACUUCUACUGAACUCCUACUUCGUGUUUCAUUCUCCUUUACAAUUACCAAACUAAGUAUUUGGUUAGAUAAUCUAUUUUUCUAAUUAAAGCUUGUAAUAUUCAGUGGCAUAUAAGAGAUUGAGCAUUUCCCUGUAUCAGGUUAGUUGUCAAACUUGUUAAUAUUGAAAUAGGUUUGUUUGUUGCUACCCUAAUAAAAUGAUGAUCACUUUUUUGGUGUAUGAUUUUUAAAGUUGUACAGCUCACAAUGACUCAAAGUGCAAGGUAGACUGAAAUCGAGUGCUCGCAUCAGUUUCACCGUGUGUCAGGAACACAGGCACUUUCUGCCUUACUGAACGCUUUGGUGUGUGCUGCUUGACUGAUACAACAGUGGCUUAGAUUCUUGUAGGAGGGGAGGUGCUGAUACUUACAGUAAGCAAGUGGUGGUAAAAAUAAAUUGUACUUUAGCUUCAGGAUAAUAAUUUUAUAAAAUUACUGUCAGGUUCUCUUGCUGGAUUAAUGUAAACUGCUUUGUUUGCAGGGUUUAUUGUCAUCCCAAAACCAGGCCAAUUCUCCAAGUGGAACUGUAGUAUAGCCAUCACACUACUGCUAGCAAAUCUCUGAACACAGGACAAGAAGUAAUGACAAUGGAACCAGGAGCUGUUCUUCAGGCAAAGAGCAUCACAAAUUAUAAUGUGGCAGAGUGUAAACAUGGAAUUAUGUGAAUCACAUAGUAAUUUGCAAAGGAAUAAUGUAAUGAGUUCUUAUUACAGCUACUACUGCUAGCUGCUCACCCAAGGAAGAGUUUUCAUUUAAAAACAAAACAAAAAAAAAAGCUUCCUUUGGUGCUGCAGAAAAAAAAAUAGUAACAUUUUUGGUUUUCUUUAUACUUUUAAAGUCCAGUGUAAUUUAAUCUAUAUAUAUAAAUAUAUAAAUAAAAGAUAUAUAUAUAUAGUGUAAAAUAAAGUAUGUUUCUUAAAUCCAAGUAAGUUCAAUGGUUAAAUUAGUACUUCACCAUUGUUUAUUUUGCACUGAUUUUUUUAACCAGAGAUGGCUAGAAGACAGCCUGGAAUGCACUCGUAGAAAAUGAAAGUCAUUACUUUCUGGCUUCAAAAUGUUAUUCAGGAAGAUGGAUGCUGCAAUCUUAGAUUUUUAAAACAAAAUUGUUUUGCACUUAAAUAGUUUAAUGCUAAUAGAAAAUUACUUUAAAUCUGGUGUCCAAACACCAGAAAAACUAUGUUGUGGAGAAAAGAUCCUUUGUAUCUAUUAAACCUUUAUUUUAAUAUUGUUGUUUCCAACUGCAAUCAGCUCUGUAUUAUAUGUACAAAUAAUGUAAUUCAGUGGUGGGGGAGGGGAGUAAUGGAUCAUUACACUAGAACUUCUCAUUCAUUUAAGAAAGUGAUAUUUCUAAUUCAGAAAAUACAUAUUAAACUAUCUUGAAUAUGCA